AUUGCUUCUCGGUCUUUUGGCUAAGGUCAAGGGUGGUAUCUGUUCUCAUCACCUUCAUGCCUGAUAAUCUCAUCUACAAAAUGUGAACACUGACUGUCUAUAAGUGGUCAUAUUCUACAUACAUAGAAUAAAAUUACAUUUAAA
Molecule: small nuclear RNA, 144 nt
Filed under: Ochotona princeps (American pika)
Lineage: Eukaryota; Metazoa; Chordata; Mammalia; Lagomorpha; Ochotonidae
Description: U2 spliceosomal RNA (ENSOPRG00000023773.1)
Rfam family: U2 spliceosomal RNA (bases 1-99)
About the family: U2 is a small nuclear RNA (snRNA) component of the spliceosome (involved in pre-mRNA splicing). Complementary binding between U2 snRNA (in an area lying towards the 5' end but 3' to hairpin I) and the branchpoint sequence (BPS) of the intron results the bulging out of an unpaired adenosine, on the BPS, which initiates a nucleophilic attack at the intronic 5' splice site, thus starting the first of two transesterification reactions that mediate splicing.
Source: RNAcentral